UUAGCUUCGUAUUCUGCAACGGUCAUAUUCCUUUGCUUUAGAUGAAUAAACUCCUGCUCUUUUUGCAUCCUUACACUCCGAGGAAAAUACUUAUCAUAAAAUGCUCCUCGAAAUCUUUUCCAAGUGAGUGGCUCCCUGUCUUGCUCAUAUUUAUGUUUCAACAUCCGCCACCAGUUGAAUGCCUCACCUUACAUCAUGUAUGAUACCUAAAGAAUAUUUUUGUCGUCCCGGUGUCUCUGAACGGCGAACGCUUUCUCCAUCUCUGUAAGCCAAUUGUUAGCUUCCAAAGGCUCCAUAGUCCCCUUGAAGGCUGGAGGAGCCAGCUUCUUGAACUCAACUAUAUUACUACGCUGCUCGUACUGCUCUCCUCGUCUUGCAUGGUGCAACGACGUUUGUUGUUGUCGAACCUGUUGCUGUUGUAUCUGUUGUUGCAUCUGGAUCAUACCAACUAAAGUCUGCAUAACCUGGCCUAAGCCUGGUUCUUGUUGUCUUCUCUGAGUAUUACUAGCAGGAUUGACAACUCUCUCCUGUUGAGGGAUGUUACUGUCCGAAUCAAGCGCUACCAUUACACCAAAACCCGUAGGUGUUAGUGAAGACGCAACUUUAUUUUCUUAAAGUAGCGCUGGGGCCCAUAGCGGCACGAGUCGACUUCGACCAAGCCUCGCCCGACUCCGGACUCCGACAGGGCCUCGCCAGUGGGUUCAGGGACCCCCUAGUGGUAUAACCCAUCCUACUCCUCCAGCGCAUCCACGUUGGCAGGCGGCAGGACUG
This 771-nucleotide long non-coding RNA is filed under the name Phoenix dactylifera (date palm). RNAcentral's name for it is "long non-coding RNA (PDAC_LNC018121)". The record is from RNAcentral. Lineage: Eukaryota; Viridiplantae; Streptophyta; Magnoliopsida; Arecales; Arecaceae.